GUAGGUGGCAAGCGUUGUCCGGAAUUAUUGGGCGUAAAGCGCGCGCAGGCGGUCCUUUAAGUCUGAUGUGAAAGCCCACGGGCUCAACCGUGGAGGGUCAUUGGAAACUGGGGGACUUGAGUACAGAAGAGGAAAGUGGAAUUCCACGUGUAGCGGUGAAAUGCGUAGAGAUGUGGAGGAACACCAGUGGCGAAGGCGACUUUCUGGUCUGUAACUGACGCUGAGGCGCGAAAGCGUGGGGAGCAAACAGGAUUAGAUACCCUGGUAGUCCACGCCGUAAACGAUGAGUGCUAAGUGUUAGAGGGUUUCCGCCCUUUAGUGCUGCAGCUAACGCAUUAAGCACUCCGCCUGGGGAGUACGGUCGCAAGACUG
This 372-nucleotide ribosomal RNA is filed under the name uncultured organism. RNAcentral describes it as "partial 16S ribosomal RNA". It matches the Rfam family "Bacterial small subunit ribosomal RNA", at positions 527 to 896 of the family's 1533-position model. The record is from RNAcentral.